CGGAUUGUACUCUGNAACCCGAGUACAUGAAGCUGGAAUCGCUAGUAAUCGCGAAUCAGAAUGUCGCGGUGAAUACGUUCCCGGGUCUUGUACACACCGCCCGUCACACCAUGGGAGUUGGAAAUGCCCGAAGUCAGUGACCGAACCGAAAGGAAGGAGCUGCCGAAGGUGGAGCCGAUGACUGGGGUGAAGUCGUAACAAGGUACC
RNAcentral lists this ribosomal RNA (207 nucleotides) under uncultured bacterium. RNAcentral describes it as "partial 16S ribosomal RNA". It matches the Rfam family "Bacterial small subunit ribosomal RNA", at positions 1294 to 1500 of the family's 1533-position model. The record is from RNAcentral.